CCAGAUCUUAUGUAAGUGGCGCAACAACAACUAAUCCUUAAUAGCAACAAGCUAGUAUGGCCUACAUGGAUCGUUUGCUUCCAUUGUAUUCGUGCUAAAUCCGCAUUGAUUCUGAUUGGUUUAGGCCUCUUGAAAGAAUUUCUGCCUGUAAUUUUAGGUCUAUUUCAUCCAGUUUUGACACAUUCACCACCUACCAGUGCAUCUGGAGGUCUAUGUAAAAGUCAAACCAUUUCAUACAACAUCUCAAACACAUUUAACCACCUACCAGUGCAUCUGGAAGUCUAUGUAAAAGUCAAACCAUUUCAUACAACAUCUCAUUUUAUCUCUUAUAGGAGGUGCUACUUACA
This 347-nucleotide long non-coding RNA is filed under the name Nicotiana benthamiana. RNAcentral describes it as "long non-coding RNA (NBEN_LNC018772)". Lineage: Eukaryota; Viridiplantae; Streptophyta; Magnoliopsida; Solanales; Solanaceae. The record is from RNAcentral.